RNAcentral lists this ribosomal RNA (499 nucleotides) under Didymella glomerata. RNAcentral's name for it is "partial 28S ribosomal RNA". It matches the Rfam family "Eukaryotic large subunit ribosomal RNA", at positions 87 to 590 of the family's 3401-position model. Lineage: Eukaryota; Fungi; Ascomycota; Dothideomycetes; Pleosporales; Didymellaceae. The record is from RNAcentral.
CGGCGAGUGAAGCGGCAACAGCUCAAAUUUGAAAUCUGGCGUCUUCGGCGUCCGAGUUGUAAUUUGCAGAGGGCGCUUUGGCAUUGGCAGCGGUCCAAGUUCCUUGGAACAGGACGUCACAGAGGGUGAGAAUCCCGUACGUGGUCGCUAGCCUUUACCGUGUAAAGCCCCUUCGACGAGUCGAGUUGUUUGGGAAUGCAGCUCUAAAUGGGAGGUAAAUUUCUUCUAAAGCUAAAUACUGGCCAGAGACCGAUAGCGCACAAGUAGAGUGAUCGAAAGAUGAAAAGCACUUUGGAAAGAGAGUUAAAAAGCACGUGAAAUUGUUGAAAGGGAAGCGCUUGCAGCCAGACUUGCCUGUAGUUGCUCAUCCGGGUUUUUACCCGGUGCACUCUUCUAUAGGCAGGCCAGCAUCAGUUUGGGCGGUUGGAUAAAGGUCUCUGUCAUGUACCUCUCUUCCGGGGAGAACUUAUAGGGGAGACGACAUGCAACCAGCCUGGAC